UAAGGAAUACUGGUCAAUGGACGCAAGUCUGAACCAGCCAUGCCGCGUGAAGGAUGAAGGUCCUCUGGAUUGUAAACUUCCUUUAUCUGGGACGAAAACGGGAUUUUUAUCUCAAUUGACGGUACCAGAGGAAUAAGCACCGGCUAACUCCGUGCCAGCAGCCGCGGUAAUACGGAGGGUGCGAGCGUUAUCCGGAUUUACUGGGUUUAAAGGGUGCGUAGGUGGGCUUAUAAGUCAGUGGUGAAAUCUCCGAGCUUAACUUGGAAACUGCCGUUGAUACUAUAGGUCUUGAAUUAUCUGGAGGUAAGCGGAAUAUGUCAUGUAGCGGUGAAAUGCUUAGAUAUGACAUAGAACACCAAUUGCGAAGGCAGCUUACUACAUAUAAAUUGACGCUGAGGCACGAAAGCGUGGGGAUCAAACA
Molecule: ribosomal RNA, 421 nt
Filed under: uncultured bacterium
Lineage: Bacteria
Description: bacterial SSU rRNA
Rfam family: Bacterial small subunit ribosomal RNA
Source: RNAcentral